Molecule: small nucleolar RNA, 130 nt
Organism: Psammomys obesus (fat sand rat)
Lineage: Eukaryota; Metazoa; Chordata; Mammalia; Rodentia; Muridae
Product: small nucleolar RNA SNORA17
Exons: 1
Source: RefSeq, a predicted model, not a curated record
GUUGCCCCUACAGCAUUGCAGGAACGGCCGCUGUGUCACACACACAUCAGUAGGUGGCAGAGGAAGGGGCUGUGUCUGCGCUCAGUGUUCUCACAUACAAACAUUCACCGAAAAUAGUGAGUCUGAGACU